RNAcentral lists this long non-coding RNA (966 nucleotides) under Setaria viridis. Its description in RNAcentral is "long non-coding RNA (SVIR_LNC004734)". The record is from RNAcentral. Lineage: Eukaryota; Viridiplantae; Streptophyta; Magnoliopsida; Poales; Poaceae.
AAGAUUUUAGUACUAACCUGAGUAGUUUAUCUUUUUUUCUCUUUCAUGUUCGAGGACGAGCAUCGUCUAAGCAUUUGAGAGGAGUCAUCACAUUAUCUCUGACUACUGCUGUAAACUACUAUGUUCCAAGUAGUUCUGAGGAGCAAAAAGAAAAAAAACAAGAAAGAAGAGAAAAAGGAAUAAAAAGAAAAAAAAUAAAAGAUAAAAAAAAUAAAAUGCUCCUCAGUUCUUUGAGCCUCAUUAAAGUUCCCAAUGCUCUCAAGAUUAAGGAUUGAUCCAUACUCAUUUUUUCCAAUCAUGUGCAAUCCGAUUACGAAAACUUCAUUUGUGUCUCUGUUAUCGGCAGUUAGCACGCCAGUUUGAGUCGCAAGCGCACGGAUCAAUUGUAGCUUUUCCCUUAGAGUAUUCCCCUAAGGUUUAUCAAUCCAUGAAAACUAGGUCAUAGGAUCUAGACUAACUAAGCAUCAGAAAAUAUGAUUCGAGUUGUAAAGUGAUUGUGAAUAGGCAUGAAUAGACAUGGAUAGGUAAGAAGCAUGGGUAGAUAUGAACAAGAGGUAACUCAUCUGGAGCAAAGCGUAGACUAUGCAGAUGUUGUAGUUCUAACUAGAUGGCAAGCAAACACAUGGUCCUCAUUCAAAGCAUCUUUAAACCACCACUUCCAGUUGUACUCCCGAAAACCCCCACCUUACACAGCAUCAGAUCCUGUCACAAUCAUGUCUAUCAGUGCAAGUAGUCUAAGGGCAUGAACAUAAAACACAUGUCUAGCUGUUAUGAUAGAUCAGGCAUGCAAUUCUAGUCACCAUGACUACAAGAACACCCUAUGCAAUCUACUACGUAAAUAAAUUGGAAUAAACAAACUCAUAACAGGAGAAAUCAUAAAAGGAAACAUAUAGAUCGCUAUUGAAUCGGAACAAAUCUAUUACUUCACCAUGAAAGAUUGGUCAUCACAAGAUCUCCACCGAGGCC